RNAcentral lists this ribosomal RNA (200 nucleotides) under uncultured bacterium. RNAcentral describes it as "partial 16S ribosomal RNA". It matches the Rfam family "Bacterial small subunit ribosomal RNA", at positions 29 to 223 of the family's 1533-position model. The record is from RNAcentral.
AGUGAACGCUGGCGGUAGGCCUAACACAUGCAAGUCGAACGGCAGCACAGCAGUAGCAAUACUGUGGGUGGCGAGUGGCGGACGGGUGAGGAAUACAUCGGAAUCUACCUUUUUCGUGGGAGAUAACGUAGGGAAACUUACGCUAAUACCGCAUACGACCUACGGGUGAAAGAGGGGGACCGCAAGGCCUCACGCGAUUA